RNAcentral lists this long non-coding RNA (1353 nucleotides) under Ursus maritimus (polar bear). Its description in RNAcentral is "lncRNA (ENSUMAG00000022502.1)". Lineage: Eukaryota; Metazoa; Chordata; Mammalia; Carnivora; Ursidae. The record is from RNAcentral.
AUCAGGGGCUACCGCCUCUGGGGCUCCCUGCCGAAGUUUCCUUGUUGGUAUCGCGUAUAAUAUGUGCUUUCUAUGUAUAAGCUUUUUAAAAAGAUUUAUUUAUGUAUUUUAGAGAACAAGCACAAGUGGGAACGGCAGAGGGAGAGAAUCGCAAGCAGACGCUGCCCUGACACGGAGCCCGACGUGGGGCUUGAGCGAAACAACCCUGAGAUCAUGACCUGAGAUCAUGACCUGAGCUGAAACGAAGAGUCGGGGCUAAUCGACUGUGCCAUCCAGGCGCCCCUAUAUAUAAACAUCAGGAUGAACCUUAAAUGGUUCACUAGGAAAACCCAUGGGAACACAUCUAAGCCUCAGCAUCAAUCAUUAUCGAUCAGCGCAGUCAUUCUUAGCAGUCAGGGGCAAAGGCAGGGUGUGCACUCAGCUGAAGCUUGGGGCCUCCCAGUGGCAGCUUCCUGAUGCCAAGUGGGGUUGCUGACAGUUGCCCUACUGAGGGUGUACGGAUCACAAGGGAGGAGGGGUUUGGGAAAGCUGGGGCCCGGAGGGUCCCGAAUUGGACAGCGCUCUCCUCUUGCUCAGCCUGGGGCUGUCUUCAAGCCUGGAGAUCUUACCUGCGCAAUGCCUAGGCAGAGGAGAAAAUGGAAUGAACGUGGGCUUCUCUUCAUGCCUCUGUCCUCCCAUCUGUGAAAUGGGGAUGACCAUCGUAAGUUGCCAGCCCUCUUAAGAAUUGUCAUAAGGCUUAAAAGAAGCUCUUGACCUGAAUACCUCCCACCUCAGUGUCUUGCACAUUUUGAAAGAACAAUGAAUGAAUGAUUAAUUGAAGGAUCAAAUGAAUGAAGAAUGAAUACCUUUACUGUUCUAUUUGGAGUUGUCAAAAACAGGAUUCCAACACGCUCAGAACAGACUUCUCGAUGCCCCGCUGUUCUCAUGGGUGAGGCGGUGUUACUUUCAUGUCUGUGUAAGAAGAAACUCAAGCUACCUGUCAGAUACUGGCAUGUCCAUCAGGGAUUGGCCACAUAUCCUGCGACGAGUCUCGGCCUGGGGAACGGCACCUCACAGGAGGUGAGUCAAGAUAAAAAAAGAAUGACCCUGCUACAUACAACUUACUAUUCGGGAUCAAGGGGUAGGGCGCUGACCGAGAGUGUCUGGGGCACGGAGUACAUAGGUUUCUUUCAUUGUUACGAACAGAAUGACCUUGGACACCUCAGUUACCCUCACUCAACCUCAAUUUUCCAAUCUGUAGAAUGGGAACAAUGAAACCGCAUCAGGUUGUGAAGAAGACUACGUAAGGUCAAGUGUCUGAAACAUAGUAACUUGUCAGCUAUUUUUAUAAUAAAAUAAAUCCUUCAUUUCUCA